AGGCUUGACAUACUGGCUCAAGCUAAUGUGAAAGCAUUUUGUGCUGUAAGGCUUGCCUUACAUAGUCAGUACAGGUGCUGCAUGGCUGUUGUCAGCUCGUGCCGUGAGGUGUCCGGUUAAGUCCGGUAACGAGCGCAACCCCUAUGUUUAGUUGCCAGCACGUAAGGUGGGAACUUUAAAGAGACUGCCGGCGACAAGCCGGAGGAAGGCGGGGACGACGUCAAGUCAUCAUGGCCCUUAUGCCUUGGGCUACACACAUGCUACAAUGGCGGAUACAAUGGGUUGCCAAACUGUGAAGUGGAGCCAAUCCCAUCAAAGUCCGUCUCAGUUCGAAUUGCAGGCUGCAACUCGCCUGCAUGAAGUUGGAAUCGCUAGUAAUCGUGGAUCAGCACUGCCCCGGUGAAUACGUUCCCGGGCCUUGCACACACCGCCCGUCACACCACGAAAGUCGGUUUUACCCGAAGUGGUUGAGCUACUCCGCAAGGGGGGCAGACUCCUAAGGUAGGGCUGGUGAUUGGGGUGAAGUCGUAACAAGGUAACCGUAAUU
RNAcentral lists this ribosomal RNA (547 nucleotides) under uncultured bacterium. Its description in RNAcentral is "bacterial SSU rRNA". It matches the Rfam family "Bacterial small subunit ribosomal RNA", at positions 977 to 1507 of the family's 1533-position model. The record is from RNAcentral.